RNAcentral lists this ribosomal RNA (456 nucleotides) under Ecytonucleospora hepatopenaei. RNAcentral's name for it is "bacterial SSU rRNA". It matches the Rfam family "Microsporidia small subunit ribosomal RNA", at positions 258 to 716 of the family's 1311-position model. The record is from RNAcentral. Lineage: Eukaryota; Fungi; Microsporidia; Enterocytozoonidae.
AGAGAUGGCUCCCACGUCCAAGGAUGGCAGCAGGCGCGAAAAUUGUCCACUCUUUUGAGAGGAGACAGUUAUGAAACGUGAGUAGAAGGGUCGAGUGUAAAAACCUUGACGUGAAGCAAUUGGAGGGCAAGUUUUGGUGCCAGCAGCCGCGGUAAUUCCAACUCCAAGAGUGUCUAUGGUGGAUGCUGCAGUUAAAGGGUCCGUAGUCGUAGAUGCAAUUAAAAGGUGGUGUUAAAAGCCAUUGAGUUUGUUGAGAGUAGCGGAACGGAUAGGGAGCAUGGUAUAGGUGGGCAAAGAAUGAAAUCUCAAGACCCCACCUGGACCAACGGAGGCGAAAGCGAUGCUCUUAGACGUAUCUGGGGAUCAAGGACGAAGGCUAGAGUAUCGAAAGUGAUUAGACACCGCUGUAGUUCUAGCUAGUAAACUAUGCCGACAAUGCUGGGUGUUGCGAGAGCG